RNAcentral lists this ribosomal RNA (268 nucleotides) under uncultured bacterium. Its description in RNAcentral is "partial 16S ribosomal RNA". It matches the Rfam family "Bacterial small subunit ribosomal RNA", at positions 524 to 791 of the family's 1533-position model. The record is from RNAcentral.
UACGUAGGGUGCGAGCGUUAAUCGGAAUUACUGGGCGUAAAGCGUGCGCAGGCGGUUUUUGUAAGACAGGCGUGAAAUCCCCGGGCUUAACCUGGGAAUGGCGCUUGUGACUGCAAGGCUAGAGUGCGUCAGAGGGGGGUAGAAUUCCACGUGUAGCAGUGAAAUGCGUAGAGAUGUGGAGGAAUACCGAUGGCGAAGGCAGCCCCUGGGACGAGACUGACGCUCAUGCACGAAAGCGUGGGGAGCAAACAGGAUUAGAACCACGUGU